This 5225-nucleotide long non-coding RNA is filed under the name Lathyrus oleraceus (garden pea). RNAcentral's name for it is "Pisum sativum (pea) long non-coding RNA (PSAT_LNC020595)". The record is from RNAcentral. Lineage: Eukaryota; Viridiplantae; Streptophyta; Magnoliopsida; Fabales; Fabaceae.
GCAAGGGUCUCAAUCUAGUUGCUUAUUUUAUUUAACGACAUAUAGAAGCACGCAGGCACAUACUUUUCUUAUUAUAUAAUUCCUCUGUAAUUGUUUAUAAUGGAAGGUAAAUAUCUCACACUUAUUAAGAAAGUUCAAAUUUUUGUGUCUCUUUUUUAAUAUGUUUUGUUGGAAAAAUAUUUUAAAAAAUUGUUUAUACUCUAAUUUUGAAGCAAUCACAACACUGUGUGGGACUUUAAGCUCUUUCUUCUUUUGUCAUGUUCUUUUUCUUCUUCUACUCUUUCUCUUUCCUUUUCUUUAUUUCUUAUUCUUUCUUCCUUCUUCUAUCUUAUUCUCUUUUAUUUUUUAUAUAUAAAUAUAUAGUUUAUUCCCCUCUUAUUUACUUCUCUUUCUUUUUUUUCUCUUUUCUUUUUUCUUCUUUCUCACUCUCCAGUUAUUUUUUCUUCUUAUCUUUCUCUUUGAUAUUCUUUCUUUCUAAUUCAUUCUUUCCUCUUUCUCUUUUCUAUGGUUUUCUAAAUAUGUAAUUUACUUCUCUCAUAACCACUUGGCAAAGCAUUUGGAUAGUCUCAUUCCUAGUGGUUAUCUGCAUUCGGUACAAACUCUUUUUUUUUUUUGUUGCUAAACACAAGAAUAUUGAAUUUUUAUUCAAUGUAGGAUCACGUCUUUAUUUGUACACUAAUUUAUCUUUUAAAAAACAAUAUAAACAUAUAACAUAAAUUAUUUGAGUAAAUGAUAAACUAGAAGGUUGGUUGUAUAGAACUCCACUCAGUUCCACAUGACGUACCAAUUGAUAGUGUAGUAUAGGAGGAAUAGUUUGAUAGGUUUUAUAGUAUUGCUUCUAAAUAAUAUGAAAGAAACAUAUAAACAAGUUAAACCAAGACUAAAAGUACUAUAAAUAAUGCUAAUAUUAGAUCCUUAACGCCAAUUCCGUUAUAUGAAUUUUGCAUAUUUCCAAGAAUUAGAAUCUGCUCUUUCAAUAUACAAUAAUCUACUUUGUAAGGGAUAAAUUAAAGUGCACAUCGUGGUAUCUUUCAACCAUGUAUUUUUCUCUGAAAAACUUGAACAUUUAUCAAUCCAACAUACUCUUAUUUCUUCCUUCAAAAUUAUUUAGUUAACAUUAUUUUUAUGUUUUACUUUGAAGUUUUAAAAUAAACUCCAAAAGUAUAAAAAUAUUGUUAAGCGCAAAAUUACCAAAGUCAAUAUACACGGUUUUAAAGGGAGUUUACAAAUUUUCGACACCCGUGCAUUGCACGGGUCUCAAUCUAGUUGCUUAUUUUAUUUAACGACAUAUAGAAGCACACAUGCACAUACUUUUCUUAUUAUAUAAUUCCUCUAUAAUUGUUUUCUAAUGGAAGGUAAAUAUCUCACACUUAUUAAGAAAGUUCAAAUUUUUGUGUCUCUUAUUUAAUAUUUUUUGUUGGAAAAAUAUUUUAAAAAAUUGUUUAUACUCUAAUUUUGAAGCAAUCACAACACUGUGUGGGACAUUAAGACCCAAUUAUUUAUGCCUUUCUCUUUCUUCUUUUGUCAUGUUUUUUAUCUUCUUCUACUCUUUCUCUUUCCUUUUGUUUAUUUCUUAUUCUUUCUUCCUUCUUCUAUCUUAUACUCUUUUAUUUUUUAUAUAUAAAUAUAUAGUUUAUUCCCCUCUUAUUUAUUUCUCUUUCUUUUUUUUCUCUUUUCUUUUUUCUUCUUUCUCACUCUCCAGUUAUUUUUUCUUCUUAUCUUUCUCUUUGGUAUUCUUUCUUUCUAAUUCAUUUUUUAUUUUUCUUUCUUCUCAUCUUUUUUAUGGUUUUCUAAAUAUGUAAUUUACUUCUCUCAUAACCACUUGGCAAGGCAUUUGGAUAGUCUCAUUCCUAGUGGUUAUCUACAUUCGGGACAAUCUCUUUUUUUUGUUGCUAAACACAAGAAUAUUGAAUUUUUAUUCAAUGUAGGAUCACGUCUUUAUUUGUACUCUAAUUUAUCUUUUAAAAAACAAUAUAAACAUAUAACAUAAAUUAUUUGAGUAAAUGAUAAACUAGAAGGUUGGUUGUAUAGAACUCCACUCAGUUCCACAUGACGUACCAGUUGAUAGUGUAGUAUNAAGACAUUCAAUAAGAUGGAUUUUUGAAAUGGUUAUGCAUUUCCAAUUAUUUAAGUUGUGAGUACCGUUGUAACCUUUUCUGUACGAAUACUAUUUCUCUAUAUACAUCCAUAAUUAACCAUUUCAUUUUUCGUAAGGCUAAUUAUAUUUUAAAGUGAAAUUAAAAAUUUCAAGAGUAUUAUUAAAAAAAAAUGUAAAUUCAUAGUAAGUAGUUUUUUUUUUGUAAUGGAUAAAUUAAAGUGCACAUCGUGGUAUCUCUCAUCCAUGUAUUUUUCUCUGAAGAACUUGAUCAUUUAUCAAUCCAACAUACUCUUAUUUCUUCCUUCAUAAUUAUUUAGUUAACAUUCUUUUUAUGUUUUACUUCGAAGUUUUAAAAUAAACUCCAAAAGUAUAAAAAUAUUGUUCAGCGCAAAAUUACCAAAGUCAAUAUACAUGGUUUUAAAGGGAGUUUACAAAUUUUCGACACCCGUUAAUUGCAAGGGUCUCAAUCUAGUUGCUUAUUUUAUUUAACGACAUAUAGAAGCACGCAGGCACAUACUUUUCUUAUUAUAUAAUUCCUCUGUAAUUGUUUAUAAUGGAAGGUAAAUAUCUCACACUUAUUAAGAAAGUUCAAAUUUUGUGUCUCUUUUUUAAUAGUUUUGUUGGAAAAAUAUUUUAAAAAUUGUUAUACUCUAAUUUGAAGCAAUCACAACACUGUGUGGGACUGACAUUAUUUAGCUUCUCUUUCUUCUUUUGUCAUGUUUUUUCUUCUUCUACUCUUUCUCUUUCCUUUUUAUUUCUUAUUCUUUCUUCCUUCUUCUAUCUUAUUCUUUAUUUUAUAUAAAAUAUAUAGUUAUUCCCUCUUAUUAUUUCUCUUUCUUUUUUCUCUUUCUUUUUUCUCUUUCUCACUCUCCAGUUAUUUUUCUUCUUAUCUUUCUCUUUGAUAUCUUUCUUUCUAAUUCAUUUUUCUCUUCUCUCUUUUUAUGGUUUUCUAAAAUAUGUAAUUACUUCUCUCAUAACCACUGGCAAGCAUUUGGAUAGUCUCAUUCCUAGUGGUUAUCUGCAUUCGGUACAACUCUUUUUUUGUUGCUAAACACAAGAAUAUUGAAUUUUUAUUCAAUGUAGGAUCACGUCUUUAUUUGUACACUAAUUUAUUUUAAAAACAAUAUAAAAAUAUAACAUAAAUUAUUUGAGUAAAUGAUAAACUAGAAGGUUGGUUGUAUAGAACUCCACUCAGUUCCACAUGUACGUACCAGUUGAUAGUGUAGUAUAGGAGGAGUAGUUUGAUGGGUUUUAUAGUAUUGCUCUUAAAUUAUAUGGAAGAAACAUAUAAACAGUAAACCAAAAUUAAAAGUACCGUAAAUAAUGCUAAUAUUAGAUCCUUAACGGCAAUUCCAUUAUAUGAAUUUUGCAUAUUUCCUAGAAUUAAAAUCGUCUCUUUCAAAUACAUAAUCUACUUUUAAUAUAGAAAUUUGUAGUAAAGAUUUGGAUACAUAAUUUGUGUAUUAAUAACUUAAAUCUGUUUUUACAACAACCCCGCAACAAAAAUCAAACUCCAGAUAACUUGGUCAUAAUGACUCUGAUAGAAUGUAAUCAUGAACUAACUUUAUAUCAAACACUAACAUCUUCAACACUAAGAAACAUGUAUUCAAAUAAGUGAAAUAGCUUUCAUAUUCCAAUAAAUAGUGAAAUAAGUAUUAAUAUUUAUAAUAAACAUAUUUUAGAAAUGCAUUUACAAAUAAAGUCAUCUAUUUUUUCUAAUAGUUGCAAUAAUUAAACCUAAAUCUAGAAGACAUUCAAUAAGAUAGAUUUUUGAAAUGGUUAUGCAUUUCCAAUUAUUUAAGUUGUGAGUACCGUUGUAACAUUUUCUGUAUGAAUAUUAUUUCCAUAUAUACCUCCAUAAUUAACCAUUUCAUUUUUCGUAAGGCUAAUUAUAUUUUUAAGUGAAAUUAAAAAUUUCAAGAGUAUUAUUAAAAACAAAUGUAAAUUGAUAGUAAGUAGUUUUUUUUUUGUAAGGGAUAAAUUAAAGUGCACAUCGUGGUAUCUUUCAUCCAUGUAUUUUUCUCUGAAGAACUUGAUCAUUUAUCAAUCCAACAUACUCUUAUUUAUUCCAUCAUAAUUAUUUAGUUAACAUUCUUUUUAUGUUUUACUUUGAAGUUUUAAAAUAAACUCCAAAAGUAUAAAAAUAUUGUUCAGCGCAAAAUCACCAAAGUCAAUACACAUGGUUUUAAAGGGAGUUUAGAAAUUUUCGACACCCGUGCAUUGCACGGGUCUCAAUCUAGUUGCUUAUUUUAUUUAACGACAUAUAGAAGCACGCAUGCACAUACUUUUCUUAUUAUAUAAUUCCUCUGUAAUUGUUUUCUAAUGGAAGGUAAAUAUCUCACACUUAUUAAAAAACUUCAAAUUUUUGUGUCUCUUUUUUAAUAUGUUUUGUUGGAAAAGUAUUUUAAAAAAUUGUUUAUACUCUAAUUUUGAAGCAAUCACAACACUGUGUGGGACAUUAAGAACCAAUUAUUUAUGCCUUUCUCUUUCUUCUUUUGUCAUGUUCUUUUUCUUCUUCUACUCUUUCUCUUUCCUUUUCUUUAUUUCUUAUUUCUUUUUCCUUCUUCUAUCUUAUUCUCUUUUAUUUUAUAUAUAUAAAUAUAUAGUUCAUUGCCCUCUUAUUUAUUUCUUUUUCUUAUUUUUCUCUUUCUUAUUUUUGUCUUUUCUUUUUUAUUCUUUCUCACUCUCCAGUUAUUUUUUCUUCUUAUCUUUCUCUUUGAUAUUCUUUCUUUCUAAUUCAUUCUUUCUUCUCAUCUUUUCUAUGGUUUUCUAAAAGUGUAAUAUACUUCUCUCAUAACCACUUGGCAAAGCAUUUGGAUAGUCUCAUUCCUAGUGGUUAUCUGCAUUCGGGACAAACUCUUUUUUUUUGUUGCUAAACACAAGAAUAUUGAAUUUAUUCAAUGUAGGAUCACGUCUAUAUUUGUAUACUAAUUUACCUUUUAAAAAACAAUAUAAACAUAUAACAUAAAUUAUUUGAGUAAAUGAUAAACUAGAAGGUUGGUUGUAUAGAACUCCACUCAGUUCCACAUGACGUACCAGUUGAUAGUGUAGUAUAGGUGGAGUAGUUUGAUGGGUUUUAUAGUAUUGCUUCUAAAUUAUAUGGAAGAAACAUAUAAACAAGUUAAAC